GCCGGGCACGGUGAUGCAUGCCUGUAAUCUCAGCGGCUCUGGAGGCUGAGACAGGAGGAUCACAAGUUCAAAGCGAGCCUCAGCAAUGGUGAGGCGCUAAGCAACUCAGUGAGACCCUGUCUCUA
Molecule: small RNA, 125 nt
Filed under: Marmota monax (woodchuck)
Lineage: Eukaryota; Metazoa; Chordata; Mammalia; Rodentia; Sciuridae
Source: RNAcentral